This 382-nucleotide ribosomal RNA is filed under the name uncultured eukaryote. RNAcentral's name for it is "partial 18S ribosomal RNA". It matches the Rfam family "Eukaryotic small subunit ribosomal RNA", at positions 592 to 976 of the family's 1831-position model. The record is from RNAcentral.
UGUAAGCGUAUACCAAAGUUGUUGCAGUUAAAACGCUCGUAGUCGGAAUUUGGCAGUUCCGUAUGUGUGCACGUCGUGUGCGCACUUCGCGGGGAUUGCUUUUGUGGUCUUGCGUAGGAUGAGGCACUUUUAUUAGUGAACGUCCUCACGCAACCACUUUUUACUGUGAGAAAAUCAGAGUGCUCAAAGCAGGCAUUUGCCGUGAAUGUAUUAGCAUGGAAUAAUAGAAUAGGACUUGGUUCUAUUUUGUUGGUUUGUUGGGACUGAGUAAUGAUUAAGAGGGACAGUUGGGGGCAUUUGUAUUUCGGUGCUAGAGGUGAAAUUCUUAGAUUACCGAAAGACAAACUGCUGCGAAAGCGUCUGCCAAGGAUGUUUUCAUUGA